RNAcentral lists this ribosomal RNA (245 nucleotides) under uncultured bacterium. Its description in RNAcentral is "partial 16S ribosomal RNA". It matches the Rfam family "Bacterial small subunit ribosomal RNA", at positions 32 to 261 of the family's 1533-position model. The record is from RNAcentral.
AAUCAACGCUGGCGGCGUGCCUAACACAUGCAAGUCGAGCGCGAAAGGGAGCAAUCCCCAAGUAGAGCGGCGAACGGGUGAGUAACGCGUGGGUAAUCUGCCUCCGAGUGGGGAACAACACCGGGAAACUGGUGCUAAUACCGCAUGACAUCGUUGGACCUUGGAUCUGACGAUCAAAGGCCGGGGACCGCAAGGCCUGGCGCUUGGAGAGGAGCCCGCGUCCGAUUAGCAGUUGGUAGGGUAAU